RNAcentral lists this ribosomal RNA (503 nucleotides) under uncultured bacterium. RNAcentral describes it as "partial 16S ribosomal RNA". It matches the Rfam family "Bacterial small subunit ribosomal RNA", at positions 30 to 523 of the family's 1533-position model. The record is from RNAcentral.
AUUGAACGCUGGCGGCAGGCUUAACACAUGCAAGUCGAGCGGGGUGAUGGUGCUUGCACUAUCACUUAGCGGCGGACGGGUGAGUAAUGCUUAGGAAUCUGCCUAUUAGUGGGGGACAACAUCUCGAAAGGGAUGCUAAUACCGCAUACGUCCUACGGGAGAAAGCAGGGGAUCACUUGUGACCUUGCGCUAAUAGAUGAGCAUAAGUCGGAUUAGCUAGUUGGUGGGGUAAAGGCCUACCAAGGCGACGAUCUGUAGCGGGUCUGAGAGGAUGAUCCGCCACACUGGGAUUGAGACACGGCCCAGACUCCUACGGGAGGCAGCAGUGGGGAAUAUUGGACAAUGGGGGGAACCCUGAUCCAGCCAUGCCGCGUGUGUGAAGAAGGCCUUAUGGUUGUAAAGCACUUUAAGCGAGGAGGAGGCUCUUUUGGUUAAUACCCAAGAUGAGUGGACGUUACUCGCAGAAUAAGCACCGGCUAACUCUGUGCCAGCAGCCGCCGUAA